GCACCAAUAGCUCAGCUGGGAGAGCGCCAGACUGAAGUUUGAACUUCAGUUCCAAGUAAUCUGGAGGUCAGGCGUUCGAUCCGCCUUUGGGGCA
This is a non-coding RNA of Lithohypha guttulata, 94 nucleotides long. The record is from the annotation of a RefSeq genome assembly. NCBI's taxonomy places the organism in Eukaryota, Fungi, Ascomycota, Eurotiomycetes, Chaetothyriales, Trichomeriaceae.